GACGAACGCUGGCGGCGUGCUUAACACAUGCAAGUCGAACGGAAAGGCCCUGCUUUUGUGGGGUGCUCGAGUGGCGAACGGGUGAGUAACACGUGAGUAACCUGCCCUUGACUUUGGGAUAACUUCAGGAAACUGGGGCUAAUACCGGAUAGGAGCUCCUGCUGCAUGGUGGGGGUUGGAAAGUUUCGGCGGUUGGGGAUGGACUCGCGGCUUAUCAGCUUGUUGGUGGGGUAGUGGCUUACCAAGGCUUUGACGGGUAGCCGGCCUGAGAGGGUGACCGGCGACAUUGGGCCUGAGAUACGGCCCAGAAUCGUACGGGAGGCAGCAGUGGGGAAUAUUGCACAAUGGGCGGAAGCCUGAUGCAGCAACGCCGCGUGCGGGAUGACGGCCUUCGGGUUGUAAACCGAUUUCGCCUGUGACGAAGCGUGAGUGACGGUAAUGGGUAAAGAAGCACCGGCUAACUACGUG
This 468-nucleotide ribosomal RNA is filed under the name uncultured bacterium. RNAcentral's name for it is "partial 16S ribosomal RNA". It matches the Rfam family "Bacterial small subunit ribosomal RNA", at positions 28 to 507 of the family's 1533-position model. The record is from RNAcentral.